GAUGAACGCUGGCGGCGUGCCUAAUACAUGCAAGUCGAGCGAACAGACGAGGAGCUUGCUCCUCUGACGUUAGCGGCGGACGGGUGAGUAACACGUGGAUAACCUACCUAUAAGACUGGGAUAACUUCGGGAAUCCGGAGCUAAUACCGGAUAAUAUAUUGAACCGCAUGGUUCAAUAGUGAAAGACGGUUUUGCUGUCACUUAUAGAUGGAUCCGCGCCGCAUUAGCUAGUUGGUAAGGUAACGGCUUACCAAGGCAACGAUGCGUAGCCGACCUGAGAGGGUGAUCGGCCACACUGGAACUGAGACACGGUCCAGACUCCUACGGGAGGCAGCAGUAGGGAAUCUUCCGCAAUGGGCGAAAGCCUGACGGAGUAACGCCGCGUGAGUGAUGAAGGUCUUCGGAUCGUAAAACUCUGUUAUUAGGGAAGAACAAAUGUGUAAGUAACUAUGCACGUCUUGACGGUACCUAAUCAGAAAGCCACGGCUAACUACGUG
This 497-nucleotide ribosomal RNA is filed under the name uncultured bacterium. RNAcentral describes it as "partial 16S ribosomal RNA". It matches the Rfam family "Bacterial small subunit ribosomal RNA", at positions 28 to 507 of the family's 1533-position model. The record is from RNAcentral.